UACGGAGGGUGCGAGCGUUGCUCGGAAUUACUGGGCGUAAAGCGUACGCAGGCUGUCCCAUAAGACGGGUGUGAAAGCCCGGGGCUCAACCCCGGAAUUGCGCCCGUGACUGUGAGGCUUGAAUGCGGGAGAGGGAAGCGGAAUUCCUGGUGUAGAGGUGAAAUUCGUAGAUAUCAGGAGGAACACCGGUGGCGAAAGCGGCUUCCUGGCCCGACAUUGACGCUCAUGUACGAGAGCGUGGGGAGCAAACAGG
RNAcentral lists this ribosomal RNA (253 nucleotides) under uncultured bacterium. Its description in RNAcentral is "partial 16S ribosomal RNA". It matches the Rfam family "Bacterial small subunit ribosomal RNA", at positions 524 to 776 of the family's 1533-position model. The record is from RNAcentral.